UUUCCCUCAGGAUAGCUGGCACUCGCUUGAGCGAGUCUCAUCUGGUAAAGCGAAUGAUUAGAGGCCUUGGGGCCGAAACGACCUCAACCUAUUCUCAAACUUUAAAUGGGUGAGAUCUCUGGCUUGCUUGAACGUUGAAGCCACGAGAUUUUUAAAGGAUCAGAGUGCCAAGUGGGCCAAUUUUGGUAAGCAGAACUGGCGCUGUGGGA
RNAcentral lists this ribosomal RNA (209 nucleotides) under Cynipencyrtus sp. D2655. Its description in RNAcentral is "partial 28S ribosomal RNA". It matches the Rfam family "Eukaryotic large subunit ribosomal RNA", at positions 967 to 1163 of the family's 3401-position model. Lineage: Eukaryota; Metazoa; Arthropoda; Insecta; Hymenoptera; Cynipencyrtidae. The record is from RNAcentral.